AAUAAGCGGAGGAAAAGAAACUAACAAGGAUUCCCCUAGUAACGGCGAGUGAAGCGGGAAGAGCUCAAAUUUGUAAUCUGGCACUUUCAGUGUCCGAGUUGUAAUCUCGAGAAGUGUUUUCCGCGCCGGACCGCAUACAAGUCUGUUGGAAUACAGCGUCAUAGUGGUGAGAACCCCGUAACUGAUGCGGAUGCCCGGUGCUUUGUGAUACACUUUCGAAGAGUCGAGUUGUUUGGGAAUGCAGCUCAAAUUGGGUGGUAAAUUCCAUCUAAAGCUAAAUAUUGGCGAGAGACCGAUAGCGAACAAGUACCGUGAGGGAAAGAUGAAAAGCACUUUGGAAAGAGAGUUAACAGUACGUGAAAUUGUUGGAAGGGAAACGAUUGAAGUCAGACUUGUUAUCUGGAGUUCAGCCUUUCGGUGUACUCUCCAGUUUACAGGCCAGCAUCAGUUUUCGGGGCGGGAAAAUCGUAAUUAGAAGGUAGCAGCCUAGCUGUGUUAUAGCUUUUUACUGGAUUCCGCUUUGGGGACUGAGGAACGCAGUGUGCUUUUAGCAAUACCCUCGGGUAUUUCA
RNAcentral lists this ribosomal RNA (571 nucleotides) under Curvibasidium nothofagi. RNAcentral describes it as "eukaryotic LSU rRNA". It matches the Rfam family "Eukaryotic large subunit ribosomal RNA", at positions 45 to 619 of the family's 3401-position model. Lineage: Eukaryota; Fungi; Basidiomycota; Microbotryomycetes. The record is from RNAcentral.